UUGACUGUGGGUAGAGAGAGGUACUAAAAUGGAGCUGCAGCAGACAAUGUGGCAAAGCUGAGGCUUGAUACAGCUCUCCAAAGACAAUGCUGGCACCAGACUGGUGAUGUCUUAAAGAAGUUCAUGCUGGCUGUCUGGCAAGAUGCAGCUGUGGUUGACUCAGGUCUGCACCUUCCUUCAAAUAGCAGAUGAUAUCUCUUUUUUUAAGAGUGGCUCUGCAGAGUUGAAAGUAACCACUUGAGUGAGAGCCUACGUCUUGCCUCUUCUGUGGCAUGUUCAUUUCACAAGCUUUUCUGCCUCUUGUUUACAAAGCCACCAAAAGGGACUUGCAGGCUGACUACACUGAAUUGUCAUUGCUGUGGAGUAAAAAAACUGCCUCAAGACUUGUGAGAUGCAGAUGGAGCGUUAAACAGUGAAGGGAAACUAAAGGGAUAAAAUGAGAAAAUGGAAGGCGUUCUGAUUUUGUAUUGUACCUGGCUGUGGCUGAAGACUUUCUUCUUGUCUGAGGAAUGUGACCAGAUACGAGCAGAUUGUUUCUCCAGGAAUGGUGACAAUACUUGCUGGUUGCUCAGUGAGAAUGGGGAACUGUGCAUGGCAAGAGCUGCCAUGUCCCCAGCCAGUUCAGCAAUCUCUGCUCCAAGAAAACAAGCUCCUGCUCCCAACCACUUCAUAGAGAAGCCAGUGCAUACAACCUAUGGAGAACUACAGUCCAGCCCAGUAAGGGUAAGUCUCUGGCCUUGCCCUGCUUUUCACAGGUCAGUGUUAGAGCUCUGCGACUACUCUGGCCAGAAAUCUGCUACCUCUGAACUGUAG
Long non-coding RNA from Struthio camelus australis, 813 nucleotides. NCBI's taxonomy places the organism in Eukaryota, Metazoa, Chordata, Aves, Struthioniformes, Struthionidae. The record is from Ensembl.